Molecule: non-coding RNA, 430 nt
Filed under: unclassified sequences
Description: HOLDH RNA
Rfam family: HOLDH RNA
About the family: Environmental (human tongue dorsum, human supragingival plaque). Downstream gene
Source: Rfam by way of RNAcentral
AUGCUUUAAGUGAAAGGAAAUAUCCGUGUCGGGAUAAACUACGGCUUCCGGAUUCCUGGAUAGAGCAUCUCAUAGGAAAGUACCGUUAGAAAGAUCAACUCGUAAUUGAUUGAGUAUAAAUAACCUCUAGAGGGAGGUCGCGGGAAACUAUGAUGAAACUCCUAGAAGUGGGCGUGCCUGGCAGAAGGAGUAGGUCGAAAACUGGUUGCUGAAGCAGCGUAAGCUCCCUGAUGUAAGCUCCCUGAAUAAAUUCACAGCAAUACAUCAAAGCAAUAUGAGAGUUGGCCAGUAUAAAUAAAUUCCCUGUUAACAGGAAGAGGGUUUGCAAAUCCAAUGUCGGGAGACACGGACCUCAUGGGAAGAAGAAACAACUCUAGUGUUAGAGAGAUACUGUUAAUGAGCUCUAACAUGUUCAAAUAUCUUAUUUAAG